This 66-nucleotide transfer RNA is filed under the name Bathymodiolus aduloides. RNAcentral's name for it is "tRNA-Val". The record is from RNAcentral. Lineage: Eukaryota; Metazoa; Mollusca; Bivalvia; Mytilida; Modiolidae.
GAUAAAAUAGAAUAAUCGAGUUCGUUUCUUUUACACUGAAAGGGUCAAUAUUUAGUUGUUUUAUUA